GACGAACGCUGGCGGCGUGCCUAAUACAUGCAAGUAGGACGCAGUUGCGAACGGGUGAGUAACGCUUAGGUAACUGCCUAUUAGAGGGGGAUAACUAUUGGAAACGAUAGCUAAUACCGCAUACUAGUAGAUGGACCUGCGUUGUAUUAGGUAGUAGGUAGGGUAAUGGCCUACCUAGGCGACGAUACAUAGCCGACCUGGUAGGGUGAUCGGCAACAAUGGGACUGAGACACGGCCCAGAAUCCUACGGGAGGCAGCCGUAGGGAAUCUUCGGCAAUGGGGGGAACCCUGACCGAGCAACGCCGGGGGAGUGAAGAAGGGUUUCGGAUCGUAAAGCUCUGUUGUGAAGGAAGCGGUACUUAACCAGAAAGGGACGGCUAACUACGUGCCAGCAGCCGCGGUAAUAC
Molecule: ribosomal RNA, 407 nt
Filed under: uncultured bacterium
Lineage: Bacteria
Description: partial 16S ribosomal RNA
Rfam family: Bacterial small subunit ribosomal RNA
Source: RNAcentral